UAGGGAAUCUUCCGCAAUGGACGAAAGUCUGACGGAGCAACGCCGCUUGAGUGAAGAAGGAUUUCGGUUCGUAAAACUCUGUUGUUAGGGAAGAAAAAAUGUAUAGUAACUAUAUACAAAAGAGACGGUACCUAACCAGAAAGCCACGGCUAACUACGUGCCAGCAGCCGCGGUAAUACGUAGGUGGCAAGCGUUGUCCGGAAUUAUUGGGCGUAAAGCGCGCGCAGGUGGUUUAGAAAGUCUGAUGUGAAAGCCCACGGCUCAACCGUGGAGGGUCAUUGGAAACUAAUAAACUUGAGUGCAGGAGAGAAAAGUGGAAUUCCUAGUGUAGCGGUGAAAUGCGUAGAGAUUAGGAGGAACACCGGUGGCGAAAGCGGCUUUUUGGCCUGCAACUGACACUGAGGCGCGAAAGCGUGGGGAGCAAACAGG
RNAcentral lists this ribosomal RNA (429 nucleotides) under Verrucomicrobiota bacterium. Its description in RNAcentral is "Verrucomicrobia bacterium partial 16S ribosomal RNA". It matches the Rfam family "Bacterial small subunit ribosomal RNA", at positions 355 to 776 of the family's 1533-position model. The record is from RNAcentral. Lineage: Bacteria; Pseudomonadati; Verrucomicrobiota.